Molecule: ribosomal RNA, 262 nt
Filed under: uncultured archaeon
Lineage: Archaea
Description: partial 16S ribosomal RNA
Rfam family: Archaeal small subunit ribosomal RNA
Source: RNAcentral
UAGCCGUAAACGAUACUCGCUAGGUGUCGGCCACGGUGCGACCGUUGUCGGUGCCGUAGGGAAGCCGUGAAGCGAGCCACCUGGGAAGUACGGCCGCAAGGCUGAAACUUAAAGGAAUUGGCGGGGGAAGCACAACAACGGGUGGAGCUUGCGGUUUAAUUGGAUUCAACGCCGGAAAUCUUACCGGGACCGACAGCAACAUGAAGGCCAAGCUGAAGACUUUGCCGGAUUAGCUGAGAGGUGGUGCAUGGCGUAGUCGUGU